Molecule: long non-coding RNA, 669 nt
Organism: Helicoverpa armigera (cotton bollworm)
Lineage: Eukaryota; Metazoa; Arthropoda; Insecta; Lepidoptera; Noctuidae
Exons: 2
Source: RefSeq, a predicted model, not a curated record
CUCUUAUUAUAAAACGCGGUAUCAAAUAAGUAUCGGCUUUUGUACUACCUUUAAUCCACCUUUAAGUACGACCUUGAAAAAACGUUAUUACAAAACGCAGUUUAUCGCAAGUCCUAUUACUAUCUGUAGUACAAAAGAUAAACCAUCGAGCCCCCUAGUUUAACUGCAGUACUUAGUCGACAAACGUCAAAUUCCGACAUUAUUUACUUUUGAGGUUAUUUGUUUUGUGAUGAAAAAAACGAAAGUGGAUAUAAAUAUGUGUGAUUUGGAAUACUUGGAUGUGUUAGAAUACUAUUUAGAGUGUCCGGGGACCCAACAGAAUGCGUCAUCGACAAAAUCUCUUCAAAUUACCUGACGACAAUUUUCGAUAUAAAUAUCGAUUUACGUUUUUCGAAAUAAUAGUCAAUUGAAUGCAUGAUGAUAAUCCAGGAUGAUCCUAUGAUGCUCAACUGGGCUCGCCAUAAAAUUCAAGACUAUUUUGGCGUUUUGCACGCCGUAUCUCUGCCAGUAAUAUGCAAUGUUUGGAAAAGACUGGAAGCUUGCUAAAAUGUACAAAAAUGCCUAAAUGAGAAAGGGAACAAGAUUGUGUGAUGAAGAACAGUGUCCAACAUGUAUCAGUGCAUUUGACUGUAUAAAUAGACAUCGGAAUAAAAUAUAAUUUUCUACUUU